Molecule: ribosomal RNA, 1042 nt
Filed under: marine metagenome
Description: bacterial SSU rRNA
Rfam family: Archaeal small subunit ribosomal RNA
Source: RNAcentral
CACUGAUGAAUAAGGGGUGGGCAAGUUCUGGUGUCAGCCGCCGCGGUAAAACCAGCACCUCAAGUGGUCAGGAUGAUUAUUGGGCCUAAAGCAUCCGUAGCCUGUUCUGUAAGUUUUCGGUUAAAUCCAUAAGCUCAACUUAUGGGCUGCCGAAAAUACUGCAGGACUAGGGAGUGGGAGAGGUAGACGGUACUCGGUAGGAAGGGGUAAAAUCCUUUGAUCUAUUGAUGACCACCUGUGGCGAAGGCGGUCUACCAGAACACGUCCGACGGUGAGGGAUGAAAGCUGGGGGAGCAAACCGGAUUAGAUACCCGGGUAGUCCCAGCUGUAAACGAUGCAAACUCGAUGAUGCGUUGGCUUGUUGCUAGCGCAGUGUCGCAGGGAAGCCGUUAAGUUUGCCGCCUGGGAAGUACGUACGCAAGUAUGAAACUUAAAGGAAUUGGCGGGGGAGCACCACAAGGGGUGAAGCCUGCGGUUCAAUUGGAGUCAACGCCUGAAACCUUACCCGGAGAGACAGCAGAAUGAAGGUCAAGCUGAAGACUUUACCAGACAAGCUGAGAGGUGGUGCAUGGCCGUCGCCAGCUCGUGCCGUGAGAUGUCCUGUUAAGUCAGGUAACGAGCGAGAUCCCUGCCUCUAGUUGCCACCAUUACUCUCAGGAGUAGUGGGGCGAAUUAGCGGGACCGCCGCAGUUAAUGCGGAGGAAGGAAGGGGCCACGGCAGGUCAGUAUGCCCCGAAACUCUGGGGCCACACGCGGGCUGCAAUGGUAACGACAAUGAGUUCCAAAAUCGAAAGAUAGAGGUAAUCCCUAAACGUUACCACAGUUAUGAUUGAGGGCUGCAACUCGCCCUCAUGAAUAUGGAAUCCCUAGUAACCGCGUGUCAUUAUCGCGCAGUGAAUACGUCCCUGCUCCUUGCACACACCGCCCGUCGUUUCAUUGAAGUGAGCUUUUAGCGAGGUGACGUCUAAUUGGCGUUAUCGAACUUGAGGUUCGUGACAAGGGAAAAGUCGUAACAAGGUGACCGUAGGGGAACCUGCGGUCG